Molecule: ribosomal RNA, 559 nt
Filed under: Bacillus subtilis
Lineage: Bacteria; Bacillati; Bacillota; Bacilli; Caryophanales; Bacillaceae
Description: bacterial SSU rRNA
Rfam family: Bacterial small subunit ribosomal RNA
Source: RNAcentral
UUAUCGGAGAGUUUGAUCCUGGCUCAGGACGAACGCUGGCGGCGUGCCUAAUACAUGCAAGUCGAGCGGACAGAUGGGAGCUUGCUCCCUGAUGUUAGCGGCGGACGGGUGAGUAACACGUGGGUAACCUGCCUGUAAGACUGGGAUAACUCCGGGAAACCGGGGCUAAUACCGGAUGGUUGUUUGAACCGCAUGGUUCAAACAUAAAAGGUGGCUUCGGCUACCACUUACAGAUGGACCCGCGGCGCAUUAGCUAGUUGGUGAGGUAACGGCUCACCAAGGCAACGAUGCGUAGCCGACCUGAGAGGGUGAUCGGCCACACUGGGACUGAGACACGGCCCAGACUCCUACGGGAGGCAGCAGUAGGGAAUCUUCCGCAAUGGACGAAAGUCUGACGGAGCAACGCCGCGUGAGUGAUGAAGGUUUUCGGAUCGUAAAGCUCUGUUGUUAGGGAAGAACAAGUACCGUUCGAAUAGGGCGGUACCUUGACGGUACCUAACCAGAAAGCCACGGCUAACUACGUGCCAGCAGCCGCGGUAAUACGUAGGUGGCAAGCGUU